Molecule: ribosomal RNA, 525 nt
Filed under: uncultured bacterium
Lineage: Bacteria
Description: bacterial SSU rRNA
Rfam family: Bacterial small subunit ribosomal RNA
Source: RNAcentral
CCUAACACAUGCAAGUCGAACGGUAACAGGAAACAGCUUGCUGUUUCGCUGACGAGUGGCGGACGGGUGAGUAAUGUCUGGGAAACUGCCUGAUGGAGGGGGAUAACUACUGGAAACGGUAGCUAAUACCGCAUAACGUCGCAAGACCAAAGAGGGGGACCCUCGGGCCUCUUGCCAUCGGAUGUGCCCAGAUGGGAUUAGCUUGUUGGUGGGGUAACGGCUCACCAAGGCGACGAUCCCUAGCUGGUCUGAGAGGAUGACCAGCCACACUGGAACUGAGACACGGUCCAGACUCCUACGGGAGGCAGCAGUGGGGAAUAUUGCACAAUGGGCGCAAGCCUGAUGCAGCCAUGCCGCGUGUAUGAAGAAGGCCUUCGGGUUGUAAAGUACUUUCAGCGGGGAGGAAGGGAGUAAAGUUAAUACCUUUGCUCAUUGACGUUACCCGCAGAAGAAGCACCGGCUAACUCCGUGCCAGCAGCCGCGGUAAUACGGAGGGUGCAAGCGUUAAUCGGAAUUACUGGGCGU